This 214-nucleotide unclassified non-coding RNA is filed under the name Archaeospora spainiae. Its description in RNAcentral is "partial internal transcribed spacer 2". Lineage: Eukaryota; Fungi; Glomeromycota; Glomeromycetes; Archaeosporales; Archaeosporaceae. The record is from RNAcentral.
GAAAAUUAAUCUAGAUAAUUUAUUGUCUGGGAAUUAAUGAAUUUUCCGUCAUCUUUUUGUUGAUGGUAAUUUGAAAUUAAUGCUAGGUCUUUGCUUGUAAAAGACGCGUUUAUGUACAUUGUAUAAUCUUCGCAACUAAUCAAGCUGUCUCUGCUAGUUUAAUUAUCCCUUUUGAAAGAAUAAAAAGGAUAUUAAACAAUACUUUCUUAAAUAA